CCUACGGGGGGCAGCAGUGGGGAAUAUUGGGCAAUGGGCGCAAGCCUGACCCAGCAAUGCCGCGUGAAGGAAGAAGGCUUUCGGGUUGUAAACUUCUUUGACAGGGGAAGAGCAGAAGACGGUACCCUGAAAACAAGCCACGGCUAACUACGUUCCAGCAGCCGCGGUAAUACGUAGGUGUCAAGCGUUGUCCGGAUUUACUGGGUGUAAAGGGCGUGUAGCCGGGAAGGCAAGUCAGAUGUGAAAUCUGGAGGCUCAACCUCCAAAUUGCAUUUGAAACUGUUUUUCUUGAGGACUGGAGAGGCAGACGGAAUUCCUUGUGUAGCGGUGAAAUGCGUAGAUAUAAGGAGGAACGCCAGUGGCGAAGGCGGUCUGCUGGACAGCAACUGACGGUGAGGCGCGAAAGCGUGGGGAGCAAACAGGAUUAGAUACCCGAGUAGUC
RNAcentral lists this ribosomal RNA (442 nucleotides) under uncultured bacterium. Its description in RNAcentral is "partial 16S ribosomal RNA". It matches the Rfam family "Bacterial small subunit ribosomal RNA", at positions 338 to 795 of the family's 1533-position model. The record is from RNAcentral.